AGAACGCCGUGACGCCUCCUCGCCUGUGUCCCUGGCGCCUGGCUGGUUAGGUGUAUCGUGUCGUUUAAUCACCUCUGCAGCUGAGACAGUGAAACCAAGAAGUGAAGGAACUUGCUUCAAGUCACAGACCCAAAAUGCGCUCCAGCUUGAAGUUGAUUGCAGGCUGCCUGCCGCCGCCCUUCCACCUCGCAUGGCGCGCCCAAGGUUAAGGAGAUGUAACCACCAGCCAUCCUGAAACUGACCAAAUGAGGCACUCAAGGGAGAUGUAACCACCAGCCAUCCUGAAACUGACCAAGCCUCACCACAAGCGCUAUGCCCAUGACCUUUGCUUUAUUUUUAAUGCAAAGAUCUCUCCAGGAGGAGCUUAGGCCUCAUUAUGUGGAAGCAUGUUCUCCACUGAGCCUGUGCAAGUGAAUACCCACCUCUCCCUUUUGAAUAUUAUUCCCCAACUGAAAUAAAAGUUCCUGCUUCCCUUA
Diceros bicornis minor is the source of this 476-nucleotide long non-coding RNA. RefSeq lists it as uncharacterized. NCBI's taxonomy places the organism in Eukaryota, Metazoa, Chordata, Mammalia, Perissodactyla, Rhinocerotidae. The record is from RefSeq and is a predicted model, not a curated record. The transcript has 2 exons.